AGGGGUGAGCGCGGUGCGGUUCGGUGCGGUUAUUAGCUAAAACCUCACCACUAACCGCAAAUGCGGUUAAUCUAUUUUGAAAACCGCAUGGUGCGGUUAUUUUUGCGGUGCGGUUAGGCGGUUAUUUUUGCGGUGCGGUUUUGUUUUUUCUGUGUUGCGGUUAUUAACCGCAUGGAUUUGGUGCGGUUAUUUUGUGUGGUUUUUAACCACAGUUUAGAGCUCAAACGCUUUUA
Molecule: long non-coding RNA, 233 nt
Filed under: Lactuca sativa (garden lettuce)
Lineage: Eukaryota; Viridiplantae; Streptophyta; Magnoliopsida; Asterales; Asteraceae
Description: long non-coding RNA (LSAT_LNC009825)
Source: RNAcentral